ACAAGACCGACAACAGCUCUCAAGGCUCAACAAGGGAGAAGUGUAGAAAAAUUGAGUUAGUGAUAAAAAAAAACCUGUUGUCACUACAAACUCUGAGAGGAAGUUCAUGCCACUUUUAGUUGACUUUUCUCUGCGAUGCCUUCUUGUGGGGGUCUUUAGACCUUUGGCUCUCAAGUUCCUUUGCCCAAAGUACUAGCAUUCUAUACUGGAUUGGGGGAGGGGGAGGGGUGUUCCUUACAUGCUAAUGACAUGCAUUCUUGUUGUACCAUUUGUUAAGAUACCACAUGGGGUGUUGAACUUGUUAUCAACGUUUAGGCAUUUUACUUUGUCUUUCAUUGGUUAUAUGCGAUGUUACAUUAUCUAAAUAUGUUAAUAAUUCAGUUCUAAGGAUGAUGUCUUUUUAUUGUUACAGUAGAUUUAUCAGGAAGUGGAAACAGAACAACAUUUGGCAGGUCAGAUCCCCUCAAAGAAGCCCAGCCACAGGAUGACCUUAAAAAAGCCGCUCGGCAAGAGUACCAGGAGUACCUUCGAAAACAGGUUGAAGAGAAAGAGAAAAAGAAAAAAGAAGAACUUGAGAGAACCAAAAGGGAAGACGAGGAAUUGGAAAAGAGAAUAACUGAAGAGAGAAUGAAAAUGCAGAAAGAUUUUGAAGAAGAGCAAGAAAAAAGUAGAAGAAAAGAAGAAGAGGUACAAUGUUCUAUUAAUUAAAUGCAUCAUUACUCACCCUACUUCCCCUUAAGAUUUUUUUUUUUUCAUGAUGUGUUCAUGCUUGAAUGCAACAAAGGGAACGUGGACCACUGUAUGGCUAUGAUAUCAGUGUCAAAUAGAGACAUAAAUUAUAGCGCUUGGGCUUAUGUUGGGUCUAGUUCCCAUCUAAAACCUUCAGGUAAUUGAUACAGUGGAACCUUGUUAAUCUGGCCACCAAUAGGCCACAAAAAUCUGGCUGUAUUAACAGGGUGGCCAUAUAAAAGGGGUCUUUAAAUGCUUAAAUGACUGACUGAGCUUUUCUUCAGGUCAGAAUAAAGUGGCUGUAAUGACAUGGUGGCCGUAUUAAUGGGGUGACCAUUAGGCAGGGUUCCACUGUAUUUAAAAUUGUAAUAGAUGUGUACCUUGUAAUUUAUAACCCUUUAGCACAUCCUGAUUUUCUGUGGUAUAUUUUUCAUAGGCAAGGCUUAAGAAUGAACAGAUUAAGGAAGCUCAAGAAGCAAAGAAAAGGGAAGCAGAGAAGAAAAAGAAGGAAAUGGAAGAACAAAGGCAAACUGAGCUGAAGAGAAAACUUGAUGCUGAAAUGGCUGCUAAGAAAGCCGCUACAAGUCAAGUGAGCUUCAGAGAAUAGUGUGAUAUAUGUAUAUUGCUCCAGAAAAUAUCGCUACCCCUCCCAUGGGAGGCUUUUUGUUUUGAUACCCCCCUUCUCACCCAACCACCCCUCAUCCAGGAGGGUAUGGAUAUUUUCUGGAACGGCAGAAGUGGACAGACUGGAGUACAAUUUAGGGAGUAUUCAGGCAAGUUAUUUCUGGUUGAAAUCACCAGUGUGAUUUCUCUCAGAUUCUGGUCCAGUUGCUAAAUACAUUGCCCCAGUUAACAAAAUUUGAAGUUAGAAAUUGUAUUGGAAUUUUUUUAGUGCACUAUUUCCAUUUGUUACAACAAGUUAAUUUAUAGGUAGAUUAAACUGGACAGUUGCACACCAUCAGUAGCAAUCAUGUAACGCAAAAUGAAUCAAAUUAUGCUCUGACAGACUGAGGGACUCGGUUAACAAAACUUGUAGUUCCCUUUCCGAGAACUAACUACAUGAAAAAUAGUUUUAGUUACAGCAGUGCAACCCUUU
Molecule: long non-coding RNA, 1825 nt
Filed under: Orbicella faveolata
Lineage: Eukaryota; Metazoa; Cnidaria; Anthozoa; Scleractinia; Merulinidae
Description: uncharacterized LOC110067666
Source: RNAcentral